UACGGAGGGAGCUAGCGUUAUUCGGAAUUACUGGGCGUAAAGCGUACGUAGGCGGCUUUGUAAGUUAGAGGUGAAAGCCUGGAGCUCAACUCCAGAACUGCCUUUAAGACUGCAUCGCUUGAAUCCAGGAGAGGUGAGUGGAAUUCCGAGUGUAGAGGUGAAAUUCGUAGAUAUUCGGAAGAACACCAGUGGCGAAGGCGGCUCACUGGACUGGUAUUGACGCUGAGGUGCGAAAGCGUGGGGAGCAAACAGG
RNAcentral lists this ribosomal RNA (253 nucleotides) under uncultured bacterium. RNAcentral's name for it is "partial 16S ribosomal RNA". It matches the Rfam family "Bacterial small subunit ribosomal RNA", at positions 524 to 776 of the family's 1533-position model. The record is from RNAcentral.